UUGGAGGGCAAGUCUGGUGCCAGCAGCCGCGGUAAUUCCAGCUCCAAUAGCGUAUAUUAAAGUUGUUGCAGUUAAAAAGCUCGUAGUUGAAUUUCGGGAUUGACGUGAUGGUCAUGCCUUAAGGGGUAUGAACUGUCACUGUUGAUUUCUCACCUUCUGGAGAAACUUGAUGUCCUUUAUUGGGUGUCUUGCGGAUCCACGACCUUUACCUUGAAAAAAUUAGAGUGUUUAAAGCAGGCAUUUUUGCUCGAAUACAUUAGCAUGGAAUAAUAGAAUAGGACGGCAUGGCUCUAUUUUGUUGGUUUCUAGGAUCACCGUAAUGAUUAAUAGGGAUAGUUGGGGGCAUUAGUAUUCAACUGUCAGAGGUGAAAUUCUUGGAUUUAUUGAAGACUAACUACUGCGAAAGCAUUUGCCAAGGAUGUUUUCAUUAAUCAAGAACGAAAGUUAGGGGAUCGAAGACGAUCAGAUACCGUCGUAGUCUUAACCAUAAACCAUGCCGACUAGGAAUCAGACGAUGUUAAUUUUUUAAUGACUCGUUUGGCACCUUACGGGAAACCAAAGUGUUUGGGUUC
This 572-nucleotide ribosomal RNA is filed under the name uncultured Glomeromycotina. RNAcentral's name for it is "SSU rRNA". It matches the Rfam family "Eukaryotic small subunit ribosomal RNA", at positions 548 to 1114 of the family's 1831-position model. Lineage: Eukaryota; Fungi; Glomeromycota. The record is from RNAcentral.